ACGCUGGCGGCAGGCCUAACACAUGCAAGUCGAACGCUCGUAGCAAUACGGGAGUGGCAGACGGGUGAGUAACGCGUGGGAACGUGCCCUUCGGUUCGGAAUAACCCAGGGAAACUUGGGCUAAUACCGGAUACGUCCGUAAGGAGAAAGAUUUAUCGCCGAAGGAUCGGCCCGCGUCGGAUUAGCUAGUUGGUGAGGUAACGGCCCACCAAGGCGACGAUCCGUAGCUGGUCUGAGAGGAUGAUCAGCCACACUGGGACUGAGACACGGCCCAGACUCCUACGGGAGGCAGCAGUGGGGAAUAUUGGACAAUGGGCGAAAGCCUGAUCCAGCCAUGCCGCGUGAGUGAAGAAGGCCCUAGGGUUGUAAAGCUCUUUCAGCGGGGAAGAUAAUGACGGUACCCGCAGAAGAAGCCCCGGCUAACUUCGUGCCAGCAGCCGCGGUAAUACGAAGGGGGCUAGCGUUGUUCGGAUUUACUGGGCGUAAAGCGCGCGUAGGCGGGUCACUAAGUCAGGGGUGAAAUCCCAAGGCUUAACCUUGGAACUGCCUUUGAUACUGGUGACCUGGAGAUCGGGAGAGGUUGGUGGAAUUCCGAGUGUAGAGGUGAAAUUCGUAGAUAUUCGGAGGAACACCAGAAGCGAAGGCGGCCAACUGGCCCGAUACUGACGCUGAGGCGCG
Molecule: ribosomal RNA, 678 nt
Filed under: uncultured Alphaproteobacteria bacterium
Lineage: Bacteria; Pseudomonadati; Pseudomonadota; Alphaproteobacteria
Description: bacterial SSU rRNA
Rfam family: Bacterial small subunit ribosomal RNA
Source: RNAcentral